CAGCCGCCGCGGUAAUACGUAGGGGGCGAGCGUUGUCCGGAAUCAUUGGGCGUAAAGCGCGCGCAGGCGGUCCCUUAAGUCUGAUGUGAAAUCUUGCGGCUCAACCGCAAGAGGUCAUUGGAAACUGGGGGACUUGAGUGCAGGAGAGGGAAGCGGAAUUCCAUGUGUAGCGGUGAAAUGCGUAGAGAUAUGGAGGAACACCAGUGGCGAAGGCGGCUUCCUGGCCUGUAACUGACGCUCAGGCGCGAAAGCGUGGGGAGCAAACAGGAUUAGAUACCCUGGUAGUCCACGCCGUAAACGAUGAGUGCUAGGUGUUGGAGGGGUUUCCCCUUCAGUGCUGGAGCUAACGCAUUAAGCACUCCGCCUGGGGAGUACGGCCGCAAGGCUGAAGCUUAAAGGAAUUGGCGGG
RNAcentral lists this ribosomal RNA (409 nucleotides) under uncultured microorganism. RNAcentral describes it as "bacterial SSU rRNA". It matches the Rfam family "Bacterial small subunit ribosomal RNA", at positions 509 to 917 of the family's 1533-position model. The record is from RNAcentral.